UUCCCUUUCAAAUCUGCAAACGUUGAAAUCCCCCAAGCACCCAGUGACCCUCCCAUAGACCCGUUACACCUGCAAUUUCAUGCCACAUGACCUCCUGUUUUAAGUUGGUAUGAGGCCCAUAUAUACCUGUAAAGCACCAUCUGAAUUCCUCAUGAGUACUCUCUAAAAUGCAGGAGAUGGAGACAGAACCUUGCAUAUUCUCAAUGUUAUUCCAAUGUCUUCUAUCCCAUACCAAUAUAAUCCCACCCCUGUUACCGCUUGCUUUCAACUCAACCCGUCUAUUUUCCCAUAAUUUGUGAACUUCACCU
This 308-nucleotide long non-coding RNA is filed under the name Nicotiana benthamiana. RNAcentral's name for it is "long non-coding RNA (NBEN_LNC019863)". Lineage: Eukaryota; Viridiplantae; Streptophyta; Magnoliopsida; Solanales; Solanaceae. The record is from RNAcentral.